This 588-nucleotide ribosomal RNA is filed under the name uncultured bacterium. RNAcentral's name for it is "bacterial SSU rRNA". It matches the Rfam family "Bacterial small subunit ribosomal RNA", at positions 337 to 917 of the family's 1533-position model. The record is from RNAcentral.
UCCUACGGGAGGCAGCAGUGGGGAAUAUUGCACAAUGGGCGCAAGCCUGAUGCAGCCAUGCCGCGUGUAUGAAGAAGGCCUUCGGGUUGUAAAGUACUUUCAGCGGGGAGGAAGGGUUGCGGGCUAAUAACCAGCGACAUUGACGUUACCCGCAGAAGAAGCACCGGCUAACUCCGUGCCAGCAGCCGCGGUAAUACGGAGGGUGCGAGCGUUAAUCGGAAUUACUGGGCGUAAAGCGCACGCAGGCGGUCUGUCAAGUCAGAUGUGAAAUCCCCGGGCUUAACCUGGGAACUGCAUUUGAAACUGGCAGGCUAGAGUCUUGUAGAGGGGGGUAGAAUUCCAGGUGUAGCGGUGAAAUGCGUAGAGAUCUGGAGGAAUACCGGUGGCGAAGGCGGCCCCCUGGACAAAGACUGACGCUCAGGUGCGAAAGCGUGGGGAGCAAACAGGAUUAGAUACCCUGGUAGUCCACGCCGUAAACGAUGUCGACUUGGAGGUUGUGCCCUUGAGGCGUGGCUUCCGGAGCUAACGCGUUAAGUCGACCGCCUGGGGAGUACGGCCGCAAGGUUAAAACUCAAAUGAAUUGACGGA